Molecule: RNA transcript, 3726 nt
Organism: Musa acuminata AAA Group (dessert banana)
Lineage: Eukaryota; Viridiplantae; Streptophyta; Magnoliopsida; Zingiberales; Musaceae
Exons: 7
Source: RefSeq, a predicted model, not a curated record
CCGAAGCAGAUGUACACCUCGGAGUUUUUGCUUCGGCGCAAGGAGGCUCGAUAACCCAACGGAAGCAGAAGGGAGUCACGUACGAUCCCUCGUCUCCGAUCCUCCGAAUUAGAUGUCGUCUUAUCUCGCUUCGAUUUCCGUAUCAUGUUACAUCAGCAUGGAUGUCUUGGCUUUUGUCCCUCUGAAGGGAAGUAAAGGCAUCCAAUUGGAUGCAGUCUAAGCGAAACCCAUAUGAACAGUUAAACCUUUAUCCCAUUCUGGACCUGUUUGUUGAUUUCAUGAUCUUUUAUGACCUUGAUUCAGAUAGACAAGUCUUCCCCAAUAACAUAUGGCAAGGCACGGAAAAGUAUCAGUUUCAGCAUUGCUAUGUGACAAUCAAUGAGCACCACACUGCUGGGAUGAUGCUAUUUUUAGUCGAUCAUUUACAAGAUUUAUCAGAAACAGGAAUGCGUCUGCAAGCAAAGUCUCCAGAUCCUCCUAUUAGACAAGGUCUUGCUGCAGCAGGGCCGACACCUGAUGAUACAAAGCCAAAGAAGAAGAUCUGCUGUGCCUGCCCAGACACAAAGAAGCUGAGAGACGAAUGCAUUGUGGAGCAUGGAGAGGCUGCAUGCCAAAAAUGGAUCCAAGCUCAUCUACAAUGCCUUCGUGCAGAGGGUUUCAAGGUCUGAUGCUUCAUAAGAGGAAGUCUGAAGUUGGAAGGCAUUAACAUCAUGAUUUGUGUCAUGGAUACUUGAUACUGAAGUUGACCUGAUCAAUACAGGAAGUUUUCUCCGAGAUAGAAGCGUCCAGAUAAUUAUAACUGGCGUCACCUUAGAAGGUGUUUUGCUACUCUUGCUGUCUUACAGGUUCCUUUUAGGAUUAAUGGAAUUAGAAAUACAAACUCAAUUUGAUCAGAACCUCUUCUUGCUAUAUGACACAUCUCCUUGCUGGAGUUUCUAAAGCUCACCCAAAGACGAAGCAAUAUUGUUUGGUUAUAAGUUGCUUGCUAAGCAGUUGUGUAAUCAUAAAUCCUUCUAUGAAAAACCGUGUGUAGGUUGUAUAUAUCAGAUCUCUGGUAUAAUUCGUGUGUUGUUGUGUUGUUUUAGUCUGUAUACUUGGACAGUAUGUUCUACAACAAUAGGAGGAAUACGUCAAAGUGUUGAGCAAUUGAUUUGGUCAUCACUCACUGGUUGUCUUGGUCUUUUAGUGUAUUCUUGAGUUGUCUUGAUCUUUUAGUGUAUUCUUGGCCUGAGUAACCUGUGCAAACGGCAAAGAAGAGUAAAAUACUCCAUUUUUCUGGAUUGCUCGUAGCUUGACUUGACACAGUCAACUGCCACUCUUCUGGAGAAGAAACUAUGAUACACUUGGCUGCUAAUAGACACAGUCGUUAGCAAUUUGUAUUGUAACAACAGUCUCUUUCUCUCCUGCUUUGUCUGUGGCUAAUAGAUUGUUCAUCCUCCCUCUCACUCAUAUGUUUCAUGGGUCUCUUUUCUCCUACCAUGCCACAAGGCUAACAACUGUUAGAUCCUCUCACUCUCACCUGUCUUUAUCUGGUGUGGCCGUGCGAGUUUGAUGUAAUUAAGAGCAAAUUCCAUGUGCGAGAGUAGCGAAAAAUAAUGUCUUAGGUUGAUGAUGUAUUGUCUGUCUUACAGGCAAAGAAGAGGAGGGUUGUUAUUUAAGAGAAGAUAGGUUGGUUGGUGGUCCGCCUGUAAACUGGGAGGAGUAGUUAACGGGCAACUGAUGCAAGAUCAGAGGAACAGGAGUCUCAUUUAAUCGUCUGUGCUUUCACCUCAGCCAUGCCAUGCCAUGCCCCCUUCUCCCUCUCAUCUAGUAGAGGCACCAGCCUCAACCUUCCAAGCCAAGGAGACCAGACCAUUGCAUCUCACGUUACGGUUCUAAUGCGAGGAGAAACGGAAGGGGAGGGGUGGAGAGAGAUUAGAGGAGAGGAAAGAGGUGAGCAGAGGAAACGAUGAGUGCAACCCUUCUCUUGCCGACACCAUCAUCCCAUUCCUGAAAUGCCCCCCUGCAGCCCAGAGAGAGAGAGAGAGAGAGAGAGAGAGAGUUGGUAUUCUCUCCUGUUUCCAAUUGGCAUGGGACUCAUUGGGUUUUGUCCUGGUCAGACCUUCCACAUGGACGGUGUAACAGGGGAAGGAACCUCCCCCUUCCUCCUCCCCCCCCUGUUCUCUCUCUCUCUCUCUCUCUCUCUCUCUUCCUCUCCAUCCACCUUUAUUUCUCCAGUUUCACAAUAUGUCUCUGUUCCCAUCUGUUUUCUUUAUGACCUCUUCUUGGUGAAUAGGCCUGUUUCCGUUCUGGGUGUUGCCUUGUAACCCACCCACUUUUCUUUAUCUCCUCCCCCUUUCUCUUCUUUCCUAUUUGUUUUCAUCUGUCGAUGGAGGUGAGAAUGAUGAAGAAGACGAGAAAGGUUCGCAAGGAACCAUCGCCAUCUGCUACUUGUUCCCCCUUCAGGGAUGAUGUCAGGCAAAGAUUCAAAUACCGAUCCCUCCUGCAAGAUCAUAUGGAGUUGCUCGAGGAAACUGAAGCAAAGAAGAAGAAACUGCAGGAGACAAGACAAAAAAAACUGCAGCUCUUGACUGAAGUCAGGUUCUUGCGAAGAAAACAAGAGUCAUUAUCAGAAUAUCCAUCUCAGGAAAUCCCAUUUAGAAUAAAGAAGCAAUCUCGUCCAACGGCAUCCCCAUCAGUUUGUAUUUCGCAAUCAGUGAAUUUGCCUCUUCCAAAUGGAGUAUCUACCAGAGGAAAGAAAUACAAAGUAUUGGAAGCAGCAAAUGCAAGUAAUUCUCUGAUAGAGUCUUUGUCAGUAAAUCCAUCUCAGUAUCAAUUUAAGAAGCAGUCUCACAAAACCCACCCUCAUCCCUCUGCUUCGCACAAUCGUCGUAUAUGUUCAUCUCAGGGAAAGUGUCUACUCAAGAUAAGAGCUACCGAGUAAAGGAAGCUGCAAAUACAAGCAAUUGCGCUUCUCCACUGAUAAAUCUGAAUCAGAAACAGAGAAGUUUCAGUUGGAGAAAGAUUUCCUGAAAAUGGUGAAAUUGUAUAGACAUUAAAUGAAUGAAGGAGGCAAAAUGAUAUUGAGUUAGCAAUUUGUAGACAUCGGGAGGAACUCAAACAGGGUUGGUCAGGGCAAAAUUUUAUAGCAAGAUCGUGUAGCUUUGAAGUCUUAUCCAUUUUCAUGGGUGAGAAAGGUGGUGAAGGAUGCACUGUCAUAGGACUUACCUAUCGACAAGCAGCGGUCGUGUAUAUUUGCUUCUAAAUGUAAGAUGCUGGAGCCAAGACAGGUUGAUAAGAUGCUUCUCUCAGUUCAGUAGAUAACAAUCUGAUCACAGAUGCCGUAUGGGGGACGGGAACUUUUGACAUGAGGAAUGCACCUUCUGGUUUACUGUUAUUUCCUGGUCAUCUUUCUUCAAGAUGCUUGAAGAAAUCCAUAUAAAGAAUUGGUCCUCUCUUGGUGUGAUGGAAAUCGAGGAUUUGUCGUGUUCAAUACCAAGUUGUGCCGCUCUUCAUAUUCUACUAAAAUGUAUCAGAGAAGAAGAUGGACGGGUCCAAAUUGAUGAAAUAACUGAUUCAUUAACUUUAUAAAGCUAAUCUAACCUUAUAAAUCAAAUUCGAAUUGAAUUGGACAAGUUUUUCAUGGGCUCUGAACUUUGCAAUUACAUUGUAACUUGUCAUUUUUCUCAUGACUUGUGCUACAGAUAGUUGGGUUUUCCCAGGAAUCAUAUUUAGAUUAAUCUCUUA